UGUGAUUGUGGCUCAGUGGUAGAGCGCUUGCCUAUCAUAUGUGAGGCACUGGGUUCGAUCCUCAGCACCUCAUAA
This 75-nucleotide transfer RNA is filed under the name Marmota monax (woodchuck). RNAcentral describes it as "tRNA.Asp". The record is from RNAcentral. Lineage: Eukaryota; Metazoa; Chordata; Mammalia; Rodentia; Sciuridae.